GACAGAGGGUGCAAACGUUGUUCGGAAUUACUGGGCGUAAAGCGAGUGUAGGCGGUUUGGAAAGUCGGAUGUGAAAGCCCCGGGCUCAACCCGGGAAGUGCACUCGAUACUCCCAAGCUAGAGUAUCGGAGAGGUUGGCGGAAUUCUCGGUGUAGAGGUGAAAUUCGUAGAUAUCGAGAGGAACACCGGCGGCGAAGGCGGCCAACUGGACGAAUACUGACGCUGAGACUCGAAAGCGUGGGGAGCAAACAGG
This 253-nucleotide ribosomal RNA is filed under the name uncultured bacterium. RNAcentral's name for it is "partial 16S ribosomal RNA". It matches the Rfam family "Bacterial small subunit ribosomal RNA", at positions 524 to 776 of the family's 1533-position model. The record is from RNAcentral.